CUACGGGUCGCAGCAGUGGGGAAUAUUGCACAAUGGAGGAAACUCUGAUGCAGCAACGCCGCGUGGAGGAUGACACUUUUCGGAGCGUAAACUCCUUUUAUAUAGGAAGAAGAUGACGGUACUAUAUGAAUAAGCGCCGGCUAACUCCGUGCCAGCAGCCGCGGUAAUACGGAGGGCGCAAGCGUUACUCGGAAUCACUGGGCGUAAAGAGCGUGUAGGCGGAUUAAAAAGUCAGAAGUGAAAUCCUAUAGCUUAACUAUAGAACUGCUUCUGAAACUCUUAAUCUAGAAUAUGGGAGAGGUAGAUGGAAUUUCUGGUAUAGGGGUAAAAUCCGUAGAGAUCAGAAGGAAUACCGAUUGCGAAGGCGAUCUACUAGAACAUUAUUGACGCUGAGGUGCGAAAGCGUGGGGAGCAAACAGGAUUAGAUACCCCCGUAGUC
Molecule: ribosomal RNA, 439 nt
Filed under: uncultured bacterium
Lineage: Bacteria
Description: partial 16S ribosomal RNA
Rfam family: Bacterial small subunit ribosomal RNA
Source: RNAcentral